UGGAUUAGUGGCGAACGGGUGAGUAACACGUGGGCAAUCUGCCCUUCACUCUGGGACAAGCCCUGGAAACGGGGUCUAAUACCGGAUAACACCCUCGCGGGCAUCUGCGAGGGUUGAAAGCUCCGGCGGUGAAGGAUGAGCCCGCGGCCUAUCAGCUUGUUGGUGAGGUAAUGGCUCACCAAGGCGACGACGGGUAGCCGGCCUGAGAGGGCGACCGGCCACACUGGGACUGAGACACGGCCCAGACUCCUACGGGAGGCAGCAGUGGGGAAUAUUGCACAAUGGGCGAAAGCCUGAUGCAGCGACGCCGCGUGAGGGAUGACGGCCUUCGGGUUGUAACCUCUUUCAGCAGGGAGAAGCGAGAGUGACGGUACCUGCAGAGAAGCGCCGGCUANUACGUGCCAGCAGCCGCGGUAAUACGUAGGGCGCAGCGUUGUCCGAAUUAUGGGCGUAAGAGCUCGUA
Molecule: ribosomal RNA, 463 nt
Filed under: Streptomyces sp. SP-1
Lineage: Bacteria; Bacillati; Actinomycetota; Actinomycetes; Kitasatosporales; Streptomycetaceae
Description: bacterial SSU rRNA
Rfam family: Bacterial small subunit ribosomal RNA
Source: RNAcentral